UUUAAAAAAAGAAUUUAAUUCAACCGUAUCUAUUCAAAAUGAUGCUGUGAUGUCUGCUCUUGCUCAACAAAAAAUUAUAUUGGAGAAGUUAGUUCGGCAAGAUAACGUGCUUACUUCAGUAAAGCAAUACUUUCCGAUAAAAACCACUGAGGACCUGAAUACAAUAGAAUCCAAAAUUUUUCCCGAAAACACUCAUUUGUUUAUUACCACUAUGAGGACAGUAUUAAACCAUUCGGUGAUGAAAAACUUAAGAUAUGUGUUGACAACCGAAAUCAUAAUGACUUAUAACAUAGACGGGA
RNAcentral lists this long non-coding RNA (299 nucleotides) under Rhagoletis pomonella (apple maggot). Its description in RNAcentral is "uncharacterized LOC118749407". The record is from RNAcentral. Lineage: Eukaryota; Metazoa; Arthropoda; Insecta; Diptera; Tephritidae.